GGCCUGGUAGCUCAGUUGGUUAGAGCAUCGUCCUGAUACUGCGAGGUUGUGGCUUUGAUCACCAGUCAGGGCA
Molecule: transfer RNA, 73 nt
Filed under: Myotis brandtii (Brandt's bat)
Lineage: Eukaryota; Metazoa; Chordata; Mammalia; Chiroptera; Vespertilionidae
Rfam family: tRNA
About the family: Transfer RNA (tRNA) molecules are approximately 80 nucleotides in length.
Source: Rfam by way of RNAcentral